UUCUGCUGCAACACGUGUCGCUUUCGCCAUAUCGAUUAAUGGGUCAUUAUUUAUUAAGGAAGUUGAAUUAAGUAAAAGUGGAUUGAGGCCGCCGCCGUCAUGACCAUUUCCGGCGAAACGGCUGCUAAAAGAAGAUGUUGCUCGGACUUCUCGGAAGGAGUUUUGAGAUCCCAUUUCUGAGGUUGUUUCACACUCCCCCUUUUCCUGUAUAUGCAGUACAGGAUGAGCUGCAGGAUGCCUAGUGGGCUACCAACAAGAUUCGGAGACUGUAAAACAGACCACAGUUCGAAAAGUUUGUUAUUUAAAUCAGCCAUUUCCCUUACGAAAAAUAGACCUUAUGAUCACACUAACCGCAAGAAAAAGAUCAUGGCUUAAUAGUCCAUACGCCAUCCAAAGGGAGCUUGCUAGAAACGAGAAGAGUGACAGAAAUUCUCCAAAAAGAAAACGAAUUUUCCCAUUAACUAAAGUAGUACUCACCAUAGCCACCAGUGGAGAACCAUACAUUGCUACAGAUGCUACCAGUCCUAUGCUUCCAACGAACGCCUUUCGAUGAUGGUG
Long non-coding RNA from Salvia splendens (bonfire salvia), 558 nucleotides. RefSeq lists it as uncharacterized. The transcript is spliced from 3 exons. The record is from RefSeq and is a predicted model, not a curated record. NCBI's taxonomy places the organism in Eukaryota, Viridiplantae, Streptophyta, Magnoliopsida, Lamiales, Lamiaceae.